This 376-nucleotide unclassified non-coding RNA is filed under the name uncultured Prevotellaceae bacterium. RNAcentral's name for it is "contains 16S-23S intergenic spacer region". The record is from RNAcentral. Lineage: Bacteria; Pseudomonadati; Bacteroidota; Bacteroidia; Bacteroidales; Prevotellaceae.
UCACACCUUACGGUGGCAGUAUCUCCAGAGUGCCCAGCAUCACCUGAUGGCAACUGAAAAAAGGGGUUGCGCUCGUUAUGGCACUUAAGCCGACACCUCACGGCACGAGCUGACGACAACCAUGCAGCACCUUCACAGACGCCCCGAAGGGCCUCUUCAUCUCUGAAUCGUUCGUCUGCAAUUCAAGCCCGGGUAAGGUUCCUCGCGUAUCAUCGAAUUAAACCACAUGUUCCUCCGCUUGUGCGAGCCCCCGUCAAUUCCUUUGAGUUUCACCGUUGCCGGCGUACUCCCCAGGUGGGAUGCUUAAUGCUUUCGCUUGGUCGCUAAUUCGUAAGUGAACUAACAACGGGCAUCCAUCGUUUACUGUGCGGACUAC